AUGGCUCCUGCAAUUCUGAACCUUUCAAGCUCUUCUUCCUUCUCUCCACAACAUGCCAUUGUUCUCCUCGUCCAUCUAAUCAUCUUACUUUCCUGCCAUGCUGUUAAACAAUCAGCUGCAAGAUCAGUUAACUAUUCUGAGAUGGACCGGCAAGCUCUGCUAUCCUUCAAGGCCAGCAUCUCCUCUGACCCAGUCGGUGUCCUGCACUCAUGGAGCACCAGCUCACUCGACUUCUGCAACUGGAGCGGGGUCAGAUGUGGUGAUAUCCCUGGGUUAUUAGGUACUGGAAGCAAAUCUCUUAGAGUUGUCAAUCUUGCCUUCAACAGCCUUGCUGGA
This 336-nucleotide long non-coding RNA is filed under the name Oryza sativa aus subgroup. RNAcentral describes it as "lncRNA OsN22_04G005090". Lineage: Eukaryota; Viridiplantae; Streptophyta; Magnoliopsida; Poales; Poaceae. The record is from RNAcentral.